RNAcentral lists this ribosomal RNA (433 nucleotides) under uncultured bacterium. RNAcentral describes it as "partial 16S ribosomal RNA". It matches the Rfam family "Bacterial small subunit ribosomal RNA", at positions 29 to 507 of the family's 1533-position model. The record is from RNAcentral.
AACGAACGCUUUCUUCCUUCCUAACACAUGCAAGUCGAACGAGACCUUCGGGUCUAGUGGCGCACGGGUGCGUAACGCGUGGGAACCUGCCCUUAGGUUCGGAAUAACUCCCCGAAAGGGGUGCUAAUACCGGAUAAUGUCUUCGGACCAAAGAUUUAUCGCCUUUGGAUGGGCCCGCGUUGGAUUAGCUAGUUGGUAGGGUAAAAGCCUACCAAGGCGACGAUCCAUAGCUGGUCUGAGAGGAUGAUCAGCCACACUGGGACUGAGACACGGCCCAGACUCCUACGGGAGGCAGCAGUGGGGAAUAUUGGACAAUGGGCGAAAGCCUGAUCCAGCAAUGCCGCGUGAGUGAUGAAGGCCUUAGGGUUGUAAAGCUCUUUUACCCGGGAUGAUAAUGACAGUACCGGGAGAAUAAGCGACGGCUAACUACGUG